GAGCAGCUCGGUAGCUCGCUGGGCUCAUAACCCAGAGGUCGCAGGUUCAAAUCCUGUCCCCGCAACCA
RNAcentral lists this transfer RNA (68 nucleotides) under Microbacterium sp. Leaf351. Its description in RNAcentral is "tRNA-Met". It matches the Rfam family "tRNA", at positions 10 to 71 of the family's 71-position model. Rfam says of the family: Transfer RNA (tRNA) molecules are approximately 80 nucleotides in length. Lineage: Bacteria; Bacillati; Actinomycetota; Actinomycetes; Micrococcales; Microbacteriaceae. The record is from RNAcentral.